AAUUCCAACUCAGGAAAGAGGUACAGCCGCCUCACCUGAAAUCGAGUCUUGGGUCUGUGAAGGUAACGACACAGACUAAGCGUAGAUAGAGCGAAUCUAGGCCAUAACGUAAGUGAAGCGAUUGAGCCUCGUUAGUACGUCCGGAGGCCGACAAGGUCGAAUACUUGGAAGGCUAUAGUAGUUUCCUGAUAAAGGCGAGGGAAAUGGAGACUCCGGCGGGGUCUGAGAGC
This 230-nucleotide non-coding RNA is filed under the name uncultured Clostridium sp. The record is from RNAcentral. Lineage: Bacteria; Bacillati; Bacillota; Clostridia; Eubacteriales; Clostridiaceae.